This 433-nucleotide ribosomal RNA is filed under the name uncultured bacterium. RNAcentral's name for it is "partial 16S ribosomal RNA". It matches the Rfam family "Bacterial small subunit ribosomal RNA", at positions 29 to 507 of the family's 1533-position model. The record is from RNAcentral.
AACGAACGCUGGCGGCAUGCCUAACACAUGCAAGUCGAACGAGACCUUCGGGUCUAGUGGCGCACGGGUGCGUAACGCGUGGGAACCUGCCCUUAGGUUCGGAAUAACUCCCCGAAAGGGGUGCUAAUACCGGAUAAUGUCUUCGGACCAAAGAUUUAUCGCCUUGGGAUGGGCCCGCGUUGGAUUAGCUAGUUGGUAGGGUAAAAGCCUACCAAGGCGACGAUCCAUAGCUGGUCUGAGAGGAUGAUCAGCCACACUGGGACUGAGACACGGCCCAGACUCCUACGGGAGGCAGCAGUGGGGAAUAUUGGACGAUGGGCGAAAGCCUGAUACAGCAAUGCCGCGUGAGUGAUGAAGGCCUUAGGGUUGUAAAGCUCUUUUAGCCGGGAUGAUAAUGACAGUACCGGGAGAAUAAGCUCCGGCUAACUACGUG